This 253-nucleotide ribosomal RNA is filed under the name uncultured bacterium. RNAcentral describes it as "partial 16S ribosomal RNA". It matches the Rfam family "Bacterial small subunit ribosomal RNA", at positions 524 to 776 of the family's 1533-position model. The record is from RNAcentral.
GACGAACCGUGCGAACGUUGUUCGGAAUCACUGGGCUUAAAGGGCGCGUAGGCGGACGUCCAAGUCCGGGGUGAAAUCCCCCGGCUCAACCGGGGGACUGCCUGGGAUACUGGACGUCUCGAGGGAGGUAGGGGCGCGCGGAACUUCCGGUGGAGCGGUGAAAUGCGUAGAUAUCGUCUGGAACGCCGAAGGUGAAAACAGCUCGCUGGGAUUGUGCUGACGCUGAGACACGAAAGCCAGGGGAGCGAACGGG